RNAcentral lists this ribosomal RNA (530 nucleotides) under uncultured bacterium. RNAcentral's name for it is "bacterial SSU rRNA". The stretch from base 74 to 530 matches the Rfam family "Bacterial small subunit ribosomal RNA", at positions 1 to 462 of the family's 1533-position model. The record is from RNAcentral.
AUACUCAAGCUAUGCAUCCAACGCGUUGGGAGCUCUCCCAUAUGGUCGACCUGCAGGCGGCCGCGAAUUCACUAGUGAUUAGAGUUUGAUCCUGGCUCAGAUUGAACGCUGGCGGUAUGCUUAACACAUGCAAGUCGAACGGUAACAGGUCUUCGGAUGCUGACGAGUGGCGGACGGGUGAGUAACGCGUAGGAAUCUGCCGAUUAGUGGGGGACAACUUGUGGAAACGCAAGCUAAUACCGCAUACGCCCUACGGGGGAAAGGGGGGGAUCGUAAGACCUCUCGCUAAUCGAUGAGCCUGCGUUAGAUUAGCUAGUUGGUGGGGUAAAGGCCUACCAAGGCGACGAUCUAUAGCUGUUCUGAGAGGAAGAUCAGCCACACUGGGACUGAGACACGGCCCAGACUCCUACGGGAGGCAGCAGUGGGGAAUAUUGGACAAUGGGCGCAAGCCUGAUCCAGCAAUACCGCGUGUGUGAAGAAGGCCUUAGGGUUGUAAAGCACUUUCAAUGGGGAGGAAAAAGAGUAAGCUA